This 342-nucleotide long non-coding RNA is filed under the name Chrysolophus pictus (golden pheasant). RNAcentral's name for it is "lncRNA (ENSCPIG00010010945.1)". Lineage: Eukaryota; Metazoa; Chordata; Aves; Galliformes; Phasianidae. The record is from RNAcentral.
GCCGGGACCGGGCGCUGCGGGACGGAGUUUGAGUGCGGGGACGAGACGUGAGAGCCGAGGGGGCAGCGAGUGGCCGCGCUCGGGGGCUGCGGGAGUGUCACCAGCCCGUGGGUCACUCACCAUGCUGUAUCUCUAGCACAGUGAAGCAAUGGAACGUCUAGAGAUGGAACGUCUAGAGAUGGAAGGAAGCCAGAUAAACCUGGACAACCUCGAGAAGGGCAUAGACAACCCUGCUUUCAGCUCCCUGAGUGUGGAGGAGCUCUGUGAGGAACGUGAAGGUCCACAUUGUGGGAAUGAGAAGAAGAGAGGAGAAGAGAAUGGGAGAGUUGCUUCGUACUGCAG